Molecule: transfer RNA, 65 nt
Filed under: Ceratovacuna keduensis
Lineage: Eukaryota; Metazoa; Arthropoda; Insecta; Hemiptera; Hormaphididae
Description: tRNA-Thr
Source: RNAcentral
AUUUUAAUAGUUUAAAAAAACAUUGAUAUUGUAAAUCAAAAUUAUAUAUAAAUAUAUUUAAAAUA